Molecule: long non-coding RNA, 693 nt
Organism: Cynoglossus semilaevis (tongue sole)
Lineage: Eukaryota; Metazoa; Chordata; Actinopteri; Pleuronectiformes; Cynoglossidae
Exons: 3
Source: RefSeq, a predicted model, not a curated record
CCUGUCUGUUGCUCUGUGGUAAUCAGUGUUAUCACCGUCACCUGUGAUUCCCUGUGAUUCCCAGCUCGUUAGUCUCACUCAGUCUUUGUCAGGUCAUUGUUCAGUGUUUAUUGUUGUUGUCCCUGCUCUCCUUUUGGAUCCAUCACCUCCUGCCUGGCUCUGGUUUUUCUGUGACUUGGAGCAGGUAGUCUAUCCAAACAUUGGUUGAGCACCAGGGGACAACACGCUGCUCAGGUGGCAGGACUUCAGUCUCUGAGAGGUCAAAGGUGACAGAGAUGGGUCAUUGUGGCAUCCAGGCGGAUGCUCUGCAGCAACAUCAAGGACUUCGGAUUCUUCAAAACAUGUGAGACACAUCCAACCCCCGUACACCCUCCCCUCAAACCACCCCGAUCCUCCCCCCUCUGAGGGUAAGCUGUGGUUGGGCCCUGACAUCCCAAGUAAUUUACUAAGUCAACACAGAGUGAAGAGGGCCCGUGUACUGCAGAGAAAGAUCCUCUGUGCAAAAGCCGUGGUCCCUGAGGAGACAUGGCACACCGCAGCAGAAGAGAACUGUGCUGGCAAACCCUGAAGAAAAAAUAUUCAUAGAAAACAUCAUUUUGAUGUGAACGGUGAUAAAAUGUACAAAUAGCCAGUAUAAUUCAUAGAAGUGUGCUGAUGUAUUUAAAUAAAAGUUUGAAACAUUAAAUGUUGAAA